UUGGGAAUCGUGCGCAAUGGACGAAAGUCUGACGCCGCGACGCCGCGUGCAGGAAGAAGGCCUUUGGGUUGUAAACUGCUUUUAUUAGGGAUGAUUAUGACAGUACCUAACGAAUAAGUGACUGCUAACUUCGUGCCAGCAGCAGCGGUAAUACGAAGGUCACAAGCGUUAUCCGGAAUUAUUGGGCGUAAAGAGCUCGUAGGUGGUGAAGCGGGUCUUCGGUAAAAGUCCCAAGCUUAACUUGGGUUUCGCCGAAGAAACUACUUUGCUAAGAGGAUGGCAGGGGCAAAUGGAAUUCCUGGUGUAGCAGUGAAAUGCGUUGAUAUCAGGAAGAACACCAAUGGCGAAGGCAAUUUGCUAGGCUAUACCUGACACUAAGGAGCGAAAGCGUGGGGAGCGA
Molecule: ribosomal RNA, 400 nt
Filed under: uncultured bacterium
Lineage: Bacteria
Description: bacterial SSU rRNA
Rfam family: Bacterial small subunit ribosomal RNA
Source: RNAcentral